GCCUCGGUAGCUCAGCCUGGCAGAGCGUCCGCUUGGUAAGCGGAAGGUCGAGGGUUCAACUCCCUCCCGGGGCU
RNAcentral lists this transfer RNA (74 nucleotides) under Methanobacteriota archaeon. RNAcentral's name for it is "Euryarchaeota archaeon tRNA-Thr". It matches the Rfam family "tRNA". From Rfam's summary of the family: Transfer RNA (tRNA) molecules are approximately 80 nucleotides in length. Their secondary structure includes four short double-helical elements and three loops (D, anti-codon, and T loops). Further hydrogen bonds mediate the characteristic L-shaped molecular structure. tRNAs have two regions of fundamental functional importance: the anti-codon, which is responsible for specific mRNA codon recognition, and the 3' end, to which the tRNAs corresponding amino acid is attached (by aminoacyl-tRNA synthetases). tRNAs cope with the degeneracy of the genetic code in two manners: having more than one tRNA (with a specific anti-codon) for a particular amino acid; and 'wobble' base-pairing, i.e. permitting non-standard base-pairing at the 3rd anti-codon position. The record is from RNAcentral. Lineage: Archaea; Methanobacteriati; Methanobacteriota.